Molecule: long non-coding RNA, 3882 nt
Organism: Glycine soja
Lineage: Eukaryota; Viridiplantae; Streptophyta; Magnoliopsida; Fabales; Fabaceae
Exons: 2
Source: RefSeq, a predicted model, not a curated record
UCUCUCAAAAUGCCAAAAGAAAAGCUCCAACACAAGAACAAGACUCCAGAUUCAGGAAGAUUUCAUAACACCCGCACUAGGGGCACUCAGCGAGGUCGUGUCCAAUGAAGUGUUUGUUUUGGAACUCCAGAGGCAUUGCCAAUCCAGAGACUAGGCGUGUCUUAAGGAAAUUCUGUCUCCCACAAUCCUAACUUUUUGUUCCUAGCUGAACCUUGGACCUCCUUUGACAAUUUCCCGACUACUUUUUGGGAAAAUUUGACCUGCCUUUGCAAAGGCUCUUUACUCGCUCAUUGUUAUGUUCUGGCUAUUUCAUACCAACACAUCUCCCUGGCUGUUAGUUUUAGUAACUUGUUUUUGUUGUGUAGCAUCUAUUUAUGGUGUCUCUUCUUCAAUCCUCUAACCCUGGACCAUGGAUCUUUCUUGGGGAUUUCAAUGUUGUUCAAGGAGCUCAUGAAAAAAGGGGCAGUCUUCUUCCAUUGAAGCAAUCCUGUGAAGAUUUAUGCAACUGCACUACUAGUAAUGGUCGAAAGGGAUCUAGAAGAAUUGAUAUGAGGUUAGACAGAAUCAUUUGCAACCAUCAGUGUUUUGACACUGGAACUCUAUUUCCUGCCUUGCCUUGGUGAGAUCAAAAUCUGAUCAUUAUCCUUUGCUGCUCUCUUUCGACAUGGUGAGUUGCGUCAUAAAUCUGUUUUUAAAUUCAUGACUAUGUGGUCUGAGAAUUCUGGAUGUAGAAAACUGAUUGAAGAUGUUUGGAAGCUACCAGCUUAUGGUUACCCUAUGAAAAUCCUUAGACAGAAGCUAAGAAAUGUUAAAUCUGCUUUGAAAGUUUGGAUCAAAGAAGUUUUCGGAGAUAUCCAUCUAAAGCCCGUCAACGCCUUCAAGAAGUUGGAAGAGAUCCAAUAAAAAAUUCAACAUCUGGAGCCCUCUGAUUCCCUUAUCAACUUGGAAACCCAAGCCCAAGUGGAUCUUCAAAAAGCUCUUGAUUUUGAAGAGUUGUUUUGGAAGGAUAAAGCUCGUUUGAAUUGGUUCACACGAGGGGAUCGUAAUACUGCAUUCGUUCACAAAUUUGCCAAACAAAGAAGGGCUCUUAAUCACAUAAGUGUCCUCGGGGAUGGGGAUUGUUUGCUCCAAACUCAGGACCAGAUUCAACAACAUAUCAUCCACUUUUACUCAGCUCUUUUCGCUACAGACAACAAGUGCAGGCCAAAUAAUUUAAUUUCUAGCCUCGUCCUUCCCUUGGUUACUAGUGAGGACAAUGCUUUCCUCACAAAUCUCCCUUCCCCUGAAGAGGUUAAAAAAACUGUUUUUUCGAUGAGUAGCACUGCUAAGUGCUACCCCAGACCCGAUGGUUUUGGGGGACAUUUUUUUUCAUACUUAUUGGGAUAUUAUUGCUAAGAGGUCUUCAUUUCCACCCUUCAGUUCUUCCCCUAGAACUGGAUUCUUCCCGGCCUUAACUCCAACAUUGUGGCCUUAAUUCCAAAAUGUGACAUUGCUGAUAAAAUUGAUUUUUUCAGCCUAUUGCUAUGGGUAACUUCCAGUUUAAGAUCAUUUCUAAAAUUCUAGCGGACCUUGCUAGUAUCGCUCCUAAAUUAGUUUCUCCUGAGCAGAGGGGAAUUAUCAAAGGGCGUAGAGUUGCUAAAUGCAUCCGCACCACUUCGGUGGCCUAUAAUUUGCUGCAAUGCAAAUCUUUUGGAGGAAACAUUGCCCUAAAAAUUGAUAUCAAAAAAGCUUUUGGCUCGUUGGACUGACAAUUCCUUCUCCAAGUUCUUCAUUCCUUCGGCUUCAGCACUACCUUUUGUUGCUGAAUAAAAACAAUCCUGGAUUCUGAGACUUUCUUUCUCUAUCAAUGGGUCUAUCUCGGGUGUGCGACAAGGCGACCCUUUAUCCCCUUUUCUUUUUUGCUUGGCAGAGGAGGUUCUCAGCAGGGGCACUGCUCAACUGAUUCAAUCUAAGAGGUACUAAGAGAAAUAUGUACAACCUAUUGAAUUUGUUUGACAGUUAUGGCCAAGCUUCCGGGCAGAUGAUCAGUCCUGAAAAAUGUCUCUUCUUCCUGGGUGCUAUGUCUCCUAGAAAAAUUUAUGAAGUUAAGGAUCAAUUGGGGUUUUUGCUAUUGGGUCCAUCCCCUUCUCAUACCUGGGCAUCCCUCUUUUUAUUGGUAAGCCUAGGCCAAUCCAUCUCAAACCUAUCUCUGACAGAAUAAAAUUGAAGCUUAUUUCCUAGAAAGCCUUGCUCCUCUACCUGAUGGGGGGAGUGCAGCUAGUUAACUCCAUUAUCAAUGGCAUGUUGGCUUACUCGUUCAAAGUUUACUCUUGGCCUCGCAGCAUGAUCAAAGACCUUGACAGUUGCAUCCGGAAUUUUGUUUGGGUCGGUAAUCCUAAUCAACGCAAGAUUUGCACUGUCAAAUGGCAAAAAGUAUGCAACCCCCUUGCUGAGGGUGGCCUUGGUCUUAGACAGAUUUCAGCUAUUAACAAUGCUGCAGCUCUCAUGCUCAGCUGGGACUUUAUUCACUCAAAGGAUCAAUGAGCUCAAUUUCUCAGAGCUCGUUUCUUCAGGAAUAAAUGUUGUGUCCAAACUUAUAAGAAAUCUUCAAUAUGGCCCACCAUUGAGAAAUUUCUCUCAGUUGCCACUGAUAACACUGGUUGGCUCAUUGGAUCAGGAUAGGAGAUAAAGUUUUGGAAUGAUAAGUGGUUUCUCGAAUCCACUAUUGCAGAUUUGCAAAGGCUACCCGUUAAAAUUAAAAUGCAGCUUUUAUCAUCGGUCCAUGAUUUUCAUCCAGGAAAUGAGUGGCUGAUCCCGAGCUUGCUGUUGGACAUAAUUCCACACUUAUCAAAUGUUGUUUCGCAUGUUACACCUUCCCCCCUCUUGGAUGACUUACCUGUUCAGUGUCCAACUGAGAAUGACACCCUCUUGUUUAAAGAUGCUUCUGGUUUCUUAAAGCCUCGCGAAAACCGUGAUCAUUGAUGGAAGAUAAUUUGGUCUCCGAUUAUUUCUCCAUCCAAAUCUUUCCUCCUCUGGCAAAUUCUGCAUGACAGAGUGCCUAUAGAUGAAAACUUGAGGAAAAGAGGUUGCUUUAUCACUUCUAUUUGCCCUUUGUGUGCUUUAUCACUUUGGGUGCCAUUUGGUUUUGCCGUAAUCAAUUAAGGUUCAAUGACAAAACUAUUCAUUUACAAACAGCAACUACUUUGAUCUCUUCUGCGGUCACUCUUUUGGACUUUUGCUCCAAAGGUGGGUCUUAAAACAGCAUCCCUGACUUCUCCUUAUUGAAAGUCUUUUCUGUUCCCAUCAAUCCAUCGAAGGAGUUGCAGUUUGUUAGCGUGAUUUGGUCCCCACCUGCGUGGGAUACCAUAAAAUGCAACACAUACAGAUCCUCUAGGGGCUCCCCGAGUCAUUCUGGUAUCAGGGAUCAUGAUGGUGCCUUUCUUUGGUGGCUUUUCGGUCUAUACGGGCAUGCAGUCCCCUCUUUUUGCUGAGAUUUUAGCCAUGGAAGCUGCAGUGGGCAGAAACUAGAGAAAGAUUUGGUUUGAAACUGAUUCGAUGGUUGAUGUAGAAGCUUUCAAAAACACUUGUUCCCUGGAAAAUUAGAAGACGUUGGGAACAUUGCAUUUUUUUGUGUAAAGAUAGAAUCAUGAUUUGUUCUCAAAUUUAUAGAGAAGGCAACUCUUGUUCUAAUCUUCUUGCCAAUUAUGGGGCGGAUUCUAAGUGUAGCUUCACUUGGUGGGAUAGUAUCCCUCUUUUUGUUAGACAUGAGUACCUUCGAAACAAGCAGUCCCUACCUAACCAUAGAACUUGCAAACUUGAUUAAUGGGUUUUGGCCUAGUCCCCCAUUUUGUUUUGUCCCUUGUUUUGAUUAUUUUUAAUGAUAUUUGGUUUCCCUUGGGUAGC